Long non-coding RNA from Aegilops tauschii subsp. strangulata, 1312 nucleotides. RefSeq lists it as uncharacterized. Lineage: Eukaryota; Viridiplantae; Streptophyta; Magnoliopsida; Poales; Poaceae. The record is from RefSeq and is a predicted model, not a curated record.
CAAUCCCCGCGCACCCUCCGCUCCCAAUCCUGGUCGCGGGGUUGCUGCGCCAGAGCCCACACCCGCACCAACCCUAGCCGCCACACCUCUCCUUCCUCCCUUGCUCAACAGCGCCGCACCCCUCCCUCCUUGCUGCUCGUCCGGAUAUCCGCCGGCCGCCGCAUCCCUUCUCCCCCUUCCUCCUCCUUCCUCCUUUCCGCUGGCGCCGACGAGGGGGCCUCCCGCAUGGACGGCCAGGUCUUCAAACCGGGGGUAGAGGAGCAGGGGAGGGCUAAGAAGCCGGCGAUGGGGGUGGAGCAGCCAGGAGGGCCAAGAAGCCGGCGGUGGGUGUGGAGCAGCCAGGAGGGCCAAGAAGCCGGCGGUGGAGGUAGAGGAGCAGGGGAGGGCUAAGAAAGCCGGCCGGGAGCACACCACCGUAGGUGUCAAGGGAGUCGUGGACAAGCCGCCAGGAGGAGAAAGCUCCCAGUUUGAGGAGGAGACUACGGCACAGGUGGUGUUUUGAAAUCUAGAUUGAUUUGGUACUGUAUGUGGUGUGGUGUGCCCUUGCCAGGAAUAUCUAAUGUGUGUCAUGACACAAUCAAUUGUAGAGCUGGGAAGCAUGAUGCUCGAUUAGUGGACUGCCGCUUGAGAAGAAGCUUGUCAUAUGUCUCUUUGAGCCGCGACGGCUAGGGGCCUUCGAAGAACACGGGGUUUGACAUAGCCAUUGAGGAAGUGCAGGAUACAAACCAGAUGUAAACAAAGAGGAUAUGGAUUCAGUACGGCCACAAGUGAAGGAAUGUUGUUCCAAUUUGGAUCUUGGAGAAUGUUUUCUCACUGUGGUUCAGGUUAAACUGUUGUUCUACUGUUCCUGCUCAGCCUCCUAAUGUUCUAUGUCUUGAUGCGCCUUCUUCCAGCUUCUCUAUUGGUUUUCUCUUCACACUGAUGUUUGAAUUGAUGGCUAGAAAUACAGAGUGCCAUUUUGUCUUAUGGAGUGAUAAUUAAGAAGACAUACAUAGCUACAAAGGGAUUGCUCAAAUGAAACAAGUUGCUAAUUUUGUAUCUUUGACACUCAUGGAAAAGGAAAAUUCCUAGGGAUUUGAUUGAUGGAGGCAUCGCUAUUUGGCGCUGGAUUAUCCAUUUUUGCAGCACCAGCAAUGUUGUUUUUGUUUGGAAUGGCCAGUUCUCAAUUUCUAAAUCAGCUAUACUAUACUUCUUGUCAGGUUACAUUAUCUUGCUUCGUUUCAGUCUAUAUGUAGCACAAAAAUACUCGGUGACAUGGUUGGUUUGUAUGUUACACUAAUGAACACCACCAUAAGGAAAAGGGCAUUGCACU